Labrus bergylta (ballan wrasse) is the source of this 504-nucleotide non-coding RNA. Lineage: Eukaryota; Metazoa; Chordata; Actinopteri; Labriformes; Labridae. The record is from RefSeq and is a predicted model, not a curated record.
CAGAGAGGUUCGAUAUUUGACGGUGGAGAAGGAGGCACUGGCUAUCAAGUGGGCCCUAGAUUCCUUCCGGUACUACCUUCUUGCUCAAGAGUUCACCUUGGAGACGGAUCACAAGGCCCUUUUGGCUUUGGUAGAGAAACCAUCCAGUGGUGACGAGAAGACGUACCACUAUCUCCUCACACAGUAAUACGAGGGAAAAUACGUACACCCAUGUUUCUGCCGUACGUACGUUUGAUAAGUGAGGGCCAAUAUGUGUUAUGUUUUUGUCAACAGGGAUAUACAAUGUGUUUCUACUCAUGUAAAGGAUGGGGUUUUCCACAUUUCAAACUUUGCCUUAUUGUUGACCAAAUGAAACAUGCAUUUCUCUUUUUGUCAUCACAUCCACAGAAAAAAUGGAUGUAGGAUCUUUGAAAGAGCUCCAGUCUCAAAUCAAGAGAGACUUCUGCUCGACCAAUGAUUACCACAUCAAGGGCUGCAGUACAGCGGUGAUGUUCAGUCUGGGCC